This 510-nucleotide ribosomal RNA is filed under the name uncultured bacterium. RNAcentral describes it as "partial 16S ribosomal RNA". It matches the Rfam family "Bacterial small subunit ribosomal RNA", at positions 28 to 507 of the family's 1533-position model. The record is from RNAcentral.
GACGAACGCUGGCGGCGUGCUUUACACAUGCAAGUCGAACGAAGAGCGAUGGAAGCUUGCUUCUAUCAAUCUUAGUGGCGAACGGGUGAGUAACGCGUAAUCAACCUGCCCUUCAGAGGGGGACAACAGUUGGAAACGACUGCUAAUACCGCAUACGAUCUGACCUCGGCAUCGAGGAUAGAUGAAAGGUGGCCUCUACAUGUAAGCUAUCACUGAAGGAGGGGAUUGCGUCUGAUUAGCUAGUUGGAGGGGUAACGGCCCACCAAGGCGAUGAUCAGUAGCCGGUCUGAGAGGAUGAACGGCCACAUUGGGACUGAGACACGGCCCAGACUCCUACGGGAGGCAGCAGUGGGGAAUCUUCCGCAAUGGACGAAAGUCUGACGGAGCAACGCCGCGUGAGUGAUGACGGCCUUCGGGUUGUAAAGCUCUGUUAAUCGGGACGAAAGGCCUUUUUGCGAAUAGUGAGAAGGAUUGACGGUACCGGAAUAGAAAGCCACGGCUAACUACGUG